Molecule: ribosomal RNA, 429 nt
Filed under: Fusobacteriota bacterium
Lineage: Bacteria; Fusobacteriati; Fusobacteriota
Description: Fusobacteria bacterium partial 16S ribosomal RNA
Rfam family: Bacterial small subunit ribosomal RNA
Source: RNAcentral
UGGGGAAUCUUCCGCAAUGGACGAAAGUCUGACGGAGCAACGCCGCGUGAGUGAAGACGGCCUUCGGGUUGUAAAGCUCUGUGAUCCGGGACGAAAGAGCCUGAGGUGAAUAGCCUAAGGAAGUGACGGUACCGGAAAAGCAAGCCACGGCUAACUACGUGCCAGCAGCCGCGGUAAUACGUAGGUGGCAAGCGUUGUCCGGAAUUAUUGGGCGUAAAGCGCGCGCAGGCGGCUUCCUAAGUCCAUCUUAAAAGUGCGGGGCUUAACCCCGUGAUGGGAUGGAAACUGGGAAACUGGAGUAUCGGAGAGGAAAGUGGAAUUCCUAGUGUAGCGGUGAAAUGCGUAGAGAUUAGGAAGAACACCGGUGGCGAAGGCGACUUUCUGGACGAAAACUGACGCUGAGGCGCGGAAGCGUGGGGAGCAAACAGG